RNAcentral lists this ribosomal RNA (455 nucleotides) under uncultured bacterium. RNAcentral's name for it is "SSU rRNA". It matches the Rfam family "Bacterial small subunit ribosomal RNA", at positions 26 to 518 of the family's 1533-position model. The record is from RNAcentral.
AGGAUGAACGCUGGCGGCGUGCCUAAUACAUGCAAGUCGAGCGGUAAGGCCCCUUCGGGGGUACACGAGCGGCGGACGGCUGAGUAACACGUAGGAACGUACCCCAAACUGAGGGAUAAGCACCAGAAAUGGUGUCUAAUACCGCAUGUGGUCUUCGGAUUAAAGCUUCGGCGGUUUGGGAACGGCCUGCGCAUGAUUAGCUUGUUGGUGAGGUAAAAGCUUACCAAGGCGACGAUCAUUAGCUGGUCUGAGAGGAUGAUCAGCCAGACUGGGACUGAGAACGGCCCAGACUCCUACGGGAGGCAGCAGUAGGGAAUUUUCCACAAUGGGCGAAAGCCUGAUGGAGCAACGCCGCGUGCAGGACGAAGGCCUUCGGGUUGUAAACUGCUUUUAUAUGUGAAGAUUAUGACGGUAGCAUAUGAAUAAGGAUCGGCUAACUCGUAGCCAGCACGCGC